GUAUAUAUAGUUUAAACAAAAUAUUAGGUCGUGACCCUAGUUAUGAAAGUUCAACCCUUUCUAUAAACC
RNAcentral lists this transfer RNA (69 nucleotides) under Plethodon shenandoah (Shenandoah salamander). Its description in RNAcentral is "tRNA-His". It matches the Rfam family "tRNA". Rfam says of the family: Transfer RNA (tRNA) molecules are approximately 80 nucleotides in length. Their secondary structure includes four short double-helical elements and three loops (D, anti-codon, and T loops). Lineage: Eukaryota; Metazoa; Chordata; Amphibia; Caudata; Plethodontidae. The record is from RNAcentral.